Long non-coding RNA from Astatotilapia calliptera (eastern happy), 965 nucleotides. The record is from Ensembl. NCBI's taxonomy places the organism in Eukaryota, Metazoa, Chordata, Actinopteri, Cichliformes, Cichlidae.
GCGCUCUGCCCUUUAAUCCAAACAUGGUAACUUUGGUUUCAAAACAAGGAAGCUGGAGAUGCUUAGAUACUAAAAUUGAGCCUUCAAAACAGAACUUUACAUGGGUGAUGAUAUGGUUGCCAAGACAUCUUUAAACAAACACGGAGGAAGUAAACAAAACUGAGAACAGAAUCGCAAGUAAGCAACAUUACAAAAAAAUAACCUCCUUGGCAGAGCUGGACACUGCCUCAACUCUAGUGAGUGCAGUGGGCAGUGGACACUGGAGAGGACAGUCAAUCAAUCAAUCAAUAACACAUGUUUGCUGAGGUUUCUCUAGUUGUUGUUCCUGAAUGGUAGGUACAGUGUCCUGGUCCCUCAGUCCUCCUGUCCUGCCUGCUCCAGGCUUUGCCUUCUCUCUGUCCUUCACUCUCUCCUCUCUGUGUGCUUGUGUGUCUGUGUCAAUGUUCAUGGGAAGGACUCAUUGUGGGUUCCCGCCUCUGGCUGAACACACCUGCAACAAUCAAUCACCUGUUCUCGAUGAUCUCGUUAAGAAGCACUAUUUAAGAGGGCGGCUGAGGUUCAUUCUUCUCUGGAUCGUUGAACUGUGCUGUUAGUAAAGCCGUGGCUCUUUUGUCUUUUCCUUGCCUUUAUAAACUCGCAACUAAUCUCAUCCUUCUUCCUCUUGUAUACAGACCUUCCCUGGAUUUUCCCUGUCCUGGAGUUCUUGGAGAGACUGCUUGAGCUGAGUCAGUGUGGAUCCCCUGUUCCCCCUUCGUACUACCUGUAUAUAUCACCCUGGCGUUUCACUGUAAAUAAAUGCACUAAACUUGAUCCCUCUGAGUCCUGCCAUUGAGUCCACUCCAUCCAGCAUUCCUGACAUAUAGUAGCCAAACAGUUAUAUAUUAAUAAUAAAUAAAAGAUCACACUUGGAACUCAGGGAAAAGCAAAACGAUCUUCAGCGCCAUUCUUUACGUCUGGUGGCUUUA